AGCAGUGUGGUGUAUCGUGCACACGGGGCUUGUAUGAUGCGUCCAUGCAUGCCACCCCGAGGUCCUUGUUCGAACCAAGGUGCUGCUC
Non-coding RNA from Mycena rosella, 88 nucleotides. The record is from the annotation of a GenBank genome assembly. NCBI's taxonomy places the organism in Eukaryota, Fungi, Basidiomycota, Agaricomycetes, Agaricales, Mycenaceae.